CUUUAGGUCUGUUAUUUAUAUAAUACAUCCAUUUUAUGAUGGAAUGCUGUUGUUCACACCCAAAUGUAUAGCAUCGUGGGUCAAAUAACUUCAGUUCAUGGUACUAACAUGAAUUGGAUCUGCUGUGAUAUAUGAACCAAAUGUCAAAGCAACUUUUCAGAGCCUGAGUCUGAUGAAAAACUUCUCUAACUGUGUGAUCCUCUCAGAACUUCUGGAUAUACAGGUUGCUGGAAGUCUCACUGCUGGCAACUGAAGACCAGACCUCUACUCUGCAACUACUUAAGGACAUAGAAGGUGCUGCCUUGAAUGUGAAGAUCCAUCUCUACCUCUCAAGACUUCAAACCCAUUGAUGGAAAAGAAAGACUGGAUCCCUAUUCAUCAAAGGUGAUUUAGCUGCUGCCUUUCCUGAAGAUCCAACAGGUCAACAGUGACUGCAGAUAAGUCACCACCUCUUCCAGAGACAAAUCAAGCAUUUGGUGACAGCAAAUCUAUUUGACAUUUUUCAUUCUGGAAUGGACAGUGUCUUGACUGGAAAUGAUACAUAUUUGUGGAAGGAUAUGCCUUUCUUACUUCCUUGGUCAGCACCAUUAUUUGAGGGUUUAUAUUUUUUGACCUACUGAUAGUCUUUGAUAUAGAACAUUGCUUACAGUCAUCUCAGGCCAGGAUCAUCUCAGGAUCCUGUCUAUAGCAAAGGAGACACAACCUGUGAAACACGAUCAUAGUUCUAUCACAGAACAUACUACUCAGAAACUGUUGGCCUGAUGGAGCAGUGGUCUGUCUAAAAUCCAAUUUUUAAAUGUUUUUCAUAUAUAAAUGGAGUAGAAUUCUUCAUUUUCCUGGUUGUAUAUGAUGUAGAAUCCCAUGGUCAUGUAGUCAUAUAUAUACAUAGGAUAAUAAUGUCUGUUUCAUUCUACAAUUCUUUAUACCCCAUACUUCCUAUCCUCCCUUCACUAUCCUCUACCUAAUCUAAAGUAACAGUAUUCUUCCCUAGUACUGCCCCUUCCACUGUUAUUGUGAGUUAACAUCCACAGAAUAGCAGUUAUCAAGACUACAAGCAACAUUAAAUGUUGGCGAGGUUGUGGGGGAAAAAGGCACACUCAUAAAUUGCUGGUGGGACUGAAAACUGAUGCAACCAUUAUGGAAAGCGGUAUGGAGAUUACUCAGAA
Molecule: non-coding RNA, 1166 nt
Organism: Ictidomys tridecemlineatus (thirteen-lined ground squirrel)
Lineage: Eukaryota; Metazoa; Chordata; Mammalia; Rodentia; Sciuridae
Source: RefSeq, a predicted model, not a curated record